Molecule: ribosomal RNA, 504 nt
Filed under: uncultured bacterium
Lineage: Bacteria
Description: partial 16S ribosomal RNA
Rfam family: Bacterial small subunit ribosomal RNA
Source: RNAcentral
AUUGAACGCUGGCGGCAGGCCUAACACAUGCAAGUCGAGCGGUAGCACAGAGAGCUUGCUCUCGGGUGACGAGCGGCGGACGGGUGAGUAAUGUCUGGGAAACUGCCCGAUGGAGGGGGAUAACUACUGGAAACGGUAGCUAAUACCGCAUAACGUCGCAAGACCAAAGAGGGGGACCUUCGGGCCUCUUGCCAACGGAUGGGCCCAGACGGGAUUAGCUAGUAGGUGGGGUAACGGCUCACCUAGGCGACGAUCCCUAGCUGGUCUGAAGGGAAGACCAGGCACACGGGAACUGAGACACGGUGCAGACUCCUACGGGAGGCAGCAGUGGGGAAUAUUGCACAAUGGGCGCAAGCCUGAUGCAGCCAUGCCGCGUGUAUGAAGAAGGCCUUCGGGUUGUAAAGUACUUUCAGCGGGGAGGAAGGUGUUGAGGUUAAUAACCUCAGCAAUUGACGUUACCCGCAGAAGAAGCACCGGCUAACUCCGUGCCAGCCGCCGCAGUAA